Molecule: unclassified non-coding RNA, 391 nt
Filed under: soil metagenome
Description: partial contains 5.8S ribosomal RNA, internal transcribed spacer 2, and large subunit ribosomal RNA
Rfam family: 5.8S ribosomal RNA (bases 1-122)
Source: RNAcentral
GAUGAAGAACGUAGCGAAAUGCGAUACUUGGUGUGAAUUGCAGAAUCCCGUGAACCAUCGAGUCUUUGAACGUAAGUUGCGCCCGAAGCCACUAGGCCGAGGGCACGCCUGCCUGGGCGUCACACGCCGUUGCCCCCCCAUCUACUCCUUCGGGAUUGCGGGGGGGCGGAUGAUGGCCUCCUGUGCGCCUAGCCGCGCGGUUGGCAUAAAUACCAAGUCCUCGGCGACGCACGCCACGACAAUCGGUGGUUGCGAAACCUCGGUUGCCCGUCGUGUGCGUUCGUCGCGCAUCGAGGGCUCGAAAAAAUGCUCGGCUCCGGCUGGGCUUUCAACGCGACCCCAGGUCAGGCGGGGUUACCCGCUGAAUUUAAGCAUAUCAAUAAGCGGAGGA